CGGGGAAUAUUGCACAAUGGGCGAAGGCCUGAUGCAGCAACGCCGCGUGAGUGAUGACGGUCUUCGGAUUGUAAAGCUCUGUCUUUGGGGACGAUAAUGACGGUACCCAAGGAGGAAGCCACGGCUAACUACGUGCCAGCAGCCGCGGUAAUACGUAGGUGGCAAGCGUUGUCCGGAUUUACUGGGCGUAAAGGGUGCGUAGGCGGACCUUUAAGUGAGAUGUGAAAUCCCUGAGCUUAACUUGGGGGCUGCAUUUCAAACUGGAGGUCUAGAGUGCAGGAGAGGAGAGUGGAAUUCCUAGUGUAGCGGUGAAAUGCGUAGAGAUUAGGAAGAACACCAGUGGCGAAGGCGACUCUCUGGACUGUAACUGACGCUGAGGCACGAAAGCGUGGGGAGCAAACAG
RNAcentral lists this ribosomal RNA (403 nucleotides) under uncultured bacterium. RNAcentral describes it as "bacterial SSU rRNA". It matches the Rfam family "Bacterial small subunit ribosomal RNA", at positions 355 to 775 of the family's 1533-position model. The record is from RNAcentral.